Molecule: non-coding RNA, 27 nt
Filed under: Homo sapiens (human)
Lineage: Eukaryota; Metazoa; Chordata; Mammalia; Primates; Hominidae
Source: RNAcentral
UCCACUGUGAUGAAAGGGUUCCUUGGU